GACGAACGCUGGCGGCGUGCUUAACACAUGCAAGUCGAACGGAAAGGCCCUGCUUUUGUGGGGUGCUCGAGUGGCGAACGGGUGAGUAACACGUGAGUAACCUGCCCUUGACUUUGGGAUAACUUCAGGAAACUGGGGCUAAUACCGGAUAGGAGCUCCUGCUGCAUGGUGGGGGUUGGAAAGUUUCGGCGGUUGGGGAUGGACUCGCGGCUUAUCAGCUUGUUGGUGGGGUAGUGGCUUACCAAGGCUUUGACGGGUAGCCGGCCUGAGCGGGUGAACGGCCACAUUGGGACUGAGAUACGGACCAGACUCCUACGGGAGGCAGCAGUGGGGAAUAUUGCACAAUGGGCGGAAGCCUGAUGCAGCAACGCCGCGUGCGGGAUGACGGCCUUCGGGUUGUAAACCGCUUUCGCCUGUGACGAAGCGUGAGUGACGGUAAUGGGUAAAGAAGCACCGGCUAACUACGUG
RNAcentral lists this ribosomal RNA (468 nucleotides) under uncultured bacterium. Its description in RNAcentral is "partial 16S ribosomal RNA". It matches the Rfam family "Bacterial small subunit ribosomal RNA", at positions 28 to 507 of the family's 1533-position model. The record is from RNAcentral.